This 1494-nucleotide ribosomal RNA is filed under the name uncultured Bordetella sp. Its description in RNAcentral is "partial 16S-23S ribosomal RNA intergenic spacer". It matches the Rfam family "Bacterial small subunit ribosomal RNA". The record is from RNAcentral. Lineage: Bacteria; Pseudomonadati; Pseudomonadota; Betaproteobacteria; Burkholderiales; Alcaligenaceae.
GCAUCGAGUAAUUUGAAGGAGGUUUGAUCAUGGCUCAGAUUGAACGCUGGCGGGAUGCUUUACACAUGCAGUCGAACGGCAGCACGGACUUCGGUCUGGUGGCGAGUGGCGAACGGGUGAGUAAUGUAUCGGAACGUGCCUAGUAGCGGGGGAUAACUACGCGAAAGCGUAGCUAAUACCGCAUACGCCCUUCGGGGGAAAGCGGGGGACCUUCGGGCCUCGCACUAUUAGAGCGGCCGAUAUCGGAUUGACUGGUUGAUGGGAUAACGGCUCACCAAGGCGACGUCCGUAGCUGGUUUGAGAGGACGACCAGCCACACUGGGACUGAGACACGGCCCAGACUCCUGGAGGCCCGGCAGUGGGGAAUUUUGGACAAUGGGGAAACCUAAUCCAGCCAUCCCGCGUGUGCGAUGAAGGCCUGCUGGGUUGUAAAGCACUUUUGGCAGGAAAGAAACAGCACAGGAUAAUGCGUCGCAACUGACGGUACCUGCAGAAUAAGCACCGGCUAACUACGUACCAGCAACCGCGUAGCCCGUAAGUGCAAGCGUUAAUCGGAAUUACUGGGCGUAAAAGCGUGCGCAGGCGGUUCGGAAAGAAAAGAUGUGAAAUCGAGUAACACCGUUUCGUUUUAACUACCGAGCUAGAAGUGGUAUCAGAGGGAGGUGGAAUUCCGCGUGUAGCAGUGAAAUGCGUAGAUAUGCGGAGAGACACCGAUGGCGAAGGCAGCCUCCUGAAGGAUACUGACGCUCAUGCACGAAGCGUGGGGGCAAACAGGAUUAGAUACCCUGGUAGUCCACGCCUAAACGAUGUCAACUAGCUGUUGGGGCCUUAAGGCUUGGUAGCGCAGCUAACGCGUGAGAAGUUGACGCCUGUAAGAGUACGGUCGCAAGAUUAAAACUCAAAGGAAUUGACGAGGACCCGCACAAGCGGUGGAUGAUGUGGAUUAAUUCGAUGCAACGCGAAAAAGAAGGCCUUGCCUACCCUUGACAUGUCUGGAAUCCCGAAGAGAUUUGGGAGUGCUCGCAAGAGAACCGGAACACAGGUGCUGCAUGGCUGUCGUCCAGCUCGUGUCGUGAGAUGUUGAGUUAAGUCCAUAACGAGCACAGCCCUUGUCAUUAGUUGCUACGAAGAAGGCGCUCUAAUGAGACUGCCGGUGACAAACCGGAGGAAGGUGGGGAUGACGUCAAGUCCUCGCCCUUAUGGGUAGGGCUUCACACGUCAUACAAUGGUCAGGACAGAGGGUCGCCAACCCGCGAGGAGCCAGUCCCAGAAACCCGAUCGUAGUCCGGAUCGCAGUCUGCAACUCGACUGCGUGGAAAUUCAGACUCGCUAGUAAUCGCGGAUCAGCAUGUCGCGGUGAAUACGUUCCCGGGUCUUGUACACACCGCCCGUCACACCAUGGGAGUGGGUUUUACCAAGUAGUUAACUCUAACCGUAAGGAGGGCGAUUACCACGGUAAGGAUUCAUGACUGGGGUGAAGUCGUAAUAAGGUAG